AUCCUGAACUUGAUGGGUGCUCUGAAAGCAUAUGGCGGCAAAGAUUUCAUUUUCUUAUCAACCAACAAUAUGGCGGAUGAGAAUGAAGAUUAUUUACAAGUUAGUUCAAUUUACUGUUAAACUGAUAUAUCGAUUAGAAACCUCGAUGGAGUAAUAAAGUGUAAACCCAUUUUUUAUCACAAAAACAUACAAAAAAAACGUUAAGGAUCAAAUAAGUCGACAAAAUUAAGUAAAUACCAUCAAUUUGAACAGCAUAUCGAAUCCAAUUUAGAAAACAAAAAAAAAACAAGAGGAAUAUUAUCUUACUAAAGUCAAAACAGCUGAAUAACGGUCGGCCGUUUGGGUAAAACGUGAAAGUGGGUUCCUCGUCGAUACCCUAGAAAAUAUCGAUGGAUAUUUGCAAAAU
Molecule: long non-coding RNA, 406 nt
Filed under: Zostera marina
Lineage: Eukaryota; Viridiplantae; Streptophyta; Magnoliopsida; Alismatales; Zosteraceae
Description: long non-coding RNA (ZMAR_LNC005924)
Source: RNAcentral